AUACAGAGGGUGCAAGCGUUAAUCGGAAUUACUGGGCGUAAAGCGCGCGUAGGCGGUUUGUUAAGUUGGAUGUGAAAGCCCCGGGCUUAACCUGGGAGGGUGAUUCAAAACUGGCAGACUAGAGUGUGGUAGAGGGUAGUGGAAUUCCUAGUGUAGCGGUGAAAUGCGUAGAGAUUAGGAGGAACACCAGUGGCGAAGGCGACUGCCUGGACCAACACUGACGCUGAGGUGCGAAAGCGUGGGUAGCGAACAGGAUUAGAAACCCGGGAAGUCC
This 274-nucleotide ribosomal RNA is filed under the name uncultured bacterium. RNAcentral's name for it is "partial 16S ribosomal RNA". It matches the Rfam family "Bacterial small subunit ribosomal RNA", at positions 523 to 796 of the family's 1533-position model. The record is from RNAcentral.